AUUUUUCCACCCAGCAGGAUGGGUGAUGCUGAGAGCUGCCUGCUCAGACAACAGACACGCGAGGUCAGGAAGAAGCCGCUUAUAAAUUACCGCUUCCUUCGCGCCGCCGCCAACGCCGAGCCCCGAGGACCGCAAGCCCAGAGGACAAGCUGCGCCGAGAGGGAGUGCGGAGCGUUUACCCCGCGGGUCAGAGAGCGAGCGGGCAGGCAGCCCCCGGCCGGCGGAACCCGGCACAGCCGAGCAGAGCGCGGGCGGCGCCGCAGCCACCCCAGGUGGACAUCACACCAGCCCAAGACAACAGUCUCCUCACUAGCCUCUGUGCCUCCUGGAUACCUCUCUGUACCAUCUGGGGACCAGCUCUCUGCAUGUCACUCUUGCUCAAAAGCCUUCAGUGGUGGCUCCCUAGUGCUUUGUGAAAUCAAGUCCAACCUCCUUAGCCUGGCAUUGGAGGCCCUUCACGAUCUGGCCCUUGGCCAGUGUUCUUGCUCACCUACCACAACUUCUUUCCUCAUUUGUAGUCUGGCUGGUUUCUGCUCCUAGCUAGACCAAGCAUCCAGCUCUCU
Molecule: small RNA, 563 nt
Filed under: Pongo abelii (Sumatran orangutan)
Lineage: Eukaryota; Metazoa; Chordata; Mammalia; Primates; Hominidae
Description: processed transcript
Source: RNAcentral